This 253-nucleotide ribosomal RNA is filed under the name uncultured bacterium. RNAcentral describes it as "partial 16S ribosomal RNA". It matches the Rfam family "Bacterial small subunit ribosomal RNA", at positions 524 to 776 of the family's 1533-position model. The record is from RNAcentral.
UACGGAGGGGGCUAGCGUUGUUCGGAAUUACUGGGCGUAAAGCGCACGUAGGCGGAUCAGCAAGUCAGGGGUGAAAUCCCGGGGCUCAACCCCGGAACUGCCUUUGAUACUGUUGGUCUGGAGGUCGAGAGAGGCGAGUGGAAUUCCGAGUGUAGAGGUGAAAUUCGUAGAUAUUCGGAAGAACACCAGUGGCGAAGGCGACUAACUGGACAUGUAUUGACGCUGAGGUGCGAAAGCGUGGGGAGCAAACAGG